UGGGGAAUAUUGGACAAUGGGCGCAAGCCUGAUCCAGCCAUGCCGCGUGAGUGAUGAAGGCCUUAGGGUUGUAAAGCUCUUUUGUCCGGGAAGAUAAUGACUGUACCGGAAGAAUAAGCCCCGGCUAACUUCGUGCCAGCAGCCGCGGUAAUACGAAGGGGGCUAGCGUUGCUCGGAAUCACUGGGCGUAAAGGGCGCGUAGGCGGACUUUUAAGUCGGGGGUGAAAGCCCAGGGCUCAACCCUGGAAUUGCCUUCGAUACUGGGAGUCUUGAGUUCGGAAGAGGUUGGUGGAACUGCGAGUGUAGAGGUGAAAUUCGUAGAUAUUCGCAAGAACACCGGUGGCGAAGGCGGCCAACUGGUCCGAUACUGACGCUGAGGCGCGAAAGCGUGGGGAGCAAACAGG
This 404-nucleotide ribosomal RNA is filed under the name bacterium. RNAcentral describes it as "partial 16S ribosomal RNA". It matches the Rfam family "Bacterial small subunit ribosomal RNA", at positions 355 to 776 of the family's 1533-position model. The record is from RNAcentral.